GACGAACGCUGGCGGCGUGCUUAACACAUGCAAGUCGAACGGCAGCACGGGAGCAAUCCUAGUGGCGAGUGGCGAACGGGUGAGUAAAGUAUCGGAACGUGCCCAGUCGUGGGGGAUAACGUAGCGAAAGUUACGCUAAUACCGCAUACGAUCUAUGGAUGAAAGCGGGGGAUCGCAAGACCUCGCGCGAUUGGAGCGGCCGAUAUCAGAUUAGGAAGUUGGUGGGGUAAAGGCUCACCAAGCCGACGAUCUGUAGCUGGUCUGAGAGGACGACCAGCCACACUGGGACUGAGACACGGCCCAGACUCCGACGGGAGGCAUCAGUGGGGAAUUUUGGACAAUGGGCGCAAGCCUGAUCCAGCCAUGCCGCGUGCAGGAUGAAGGCCUUCGGGUUGUAAACUGCUUUUGUACGGAACGAAAAGGUUUGGCCUAAUACGCUGAACUCAUGACGGUACCGUAAGAAUAAGCACCGGCUAACUACGUGCCAGCCGCCGCGGUAA
This 500-nucleotide ribosomal RNA is filed under the name uncultured bacterium. RNAcentral describes it as "partial 16S ribosomal RNA". It matches the Rfam family "Bacterial small subunit ribosomal RNA", at positions 28 to 523 of the family's 1533-position model. The record is from RNAcentral.